UACGAAGGGUGCAGACGUUGCUCGGAAUUAUUGGGCGUAAAGCGCACGUAGGCGGCAUUGCAAGUCGGAUGUGAAAUCCCUCGGCUCAACCAAGGAAGUGCAUCCGAAACUGCAGUGCUUGAGUACUUAAGAGGAUCGCGGAAUUCCCGGUGUAGAGGUGAAAUUCGUAGAUAUCGGGAGGAACACCAGUGGCGAAGGCGGCGAUCUGGGAAGAUACUGACGCUGAGGUGCGAAAGCGUGGGGAGCAAACGGG
RNAcentral lists this ribosomal RNA (253 nucleotides) under uncultured bacterium. RNAcentral describes it as "partial 16S ribosomal RNA". It matches the Rfam family "Bacterial small subunit ribosomal RNA", at positions 524 to 776 of the family's 1533-position model. The record is from RNAcentral.